This 662-nucleotide ribosomal RNA is filed under the name uncultured bacterium. Its description in RNAcentral is "bacterial SSU rRNA". It matches the Rfam family "Bacterial small subunit ribosomal RNA", at positions 217 to 878 of the family's 1533-position model. The record is from RNAcentral.
GGUGAUGGAUGGGCAUGCGUCUGAUUAGCUAGUUGGCGGGGUAAUGGCUCACCAAGGCGACGAUCAGUAGGGGAGCUGAGAGGUUUUUCCCCCACACGGGCACUGAGAUACGGGCCCGACUCCUACGGGAGGCAGCAGUAGGGAAUAUUGGGCAAUGGAUGGAAGUCUGACCCAGCCAUCCCGCGUGCCGGAUGACGGCCCUCAGGGUUGUAAACGGCUUUUAACGGUGAAGAAUAGUUGGGGUGCGCCCCGAUGUGACGGUAGCCGUUGAAUAAGCACCGGCUAACUCCGUGCCAGCAGCCGCGGUAAUACGGAGGGUGCGAGCGUUGUCCGGAUUUAUUGGGUUUAAAGGGUGCGUAGGCUGGAAGGAUAGUCAGCGGUGAAAAGCACUUGCUCAACGAGUGUCUUGCCGCAGAUACUCCCUUUCUUGGAUAAGGAGGAGGUUACCGGAACGGAUGGUGUAGCGGUGAAAUGCAUAGAUAUCAUCCAGAACGCCAAUUGCGAAGGCAGGUGACUGUACCUUAAUCGACGCUGAUGCACGAAAGCAUGGGUAGCGAACAGGAUUAGAUACCCUGGUAGUCCAUGCCGUAAACGAUGGGGACUAGCUGUUGGGAGCGUUGCUUUCAGUGGCACAGGGAAACCGUUAAGUCCCGCCCAUGGGG